Gallus gallus (chicken) is the source of this 1182-nucleotide long non-coding RNA. Lineage: Eukaryota; Metazoa; Chordata; Aves; Galliformes; Phasianidae. The record is from Ensembl.
CCCGGGGCCGUAGCAGCGCCUGCACGGAGCGCUCUGCAACGCGCGGUGCCAUUCCCGGAGACCACGAGCCUCCCGUGUGAGCCCACGCAGAUAGGACAGAGCCGAAAGUGUCUCUUUUCCGGCGGACCGCUGCUGAAAAUUGCCUUUUUAUUUUUCUCUAAUUCUUUAAAAAAAAAAACAAAAAAAAAAAACAUCGUGGCUAUGAGACGCGGUUGCAACUCGCAUCCCCUGCACGGCUCCGGGCAGCCCCGCUCUGCAGCUGGAGCACCGAGCUCAGCAAAUGCACGCCUCUUCCGCAGCCCCCCGGCCGCACCGCCGCGGCCAAACCCUGCCGAGCUGAGGAGGUUUCGAGGGAAUAUCAGCUCCAGGAAUCAGUGCUUGUGUCAAAAUCGCGGCUCCCGUUUAAACGAAAACCGAGCGCUGAGCCCUCGGUUGAUUUGAGGCUAAAGAUCGAUUUGGGCACAAAAACGACUUCCCGUUCAGCAUUAUUUUUUCAAACCGUAUGGUUCUGCUGGAGGAGCACUGAUCCGGGCAGGAAGCUGCUCCCAGGCCUGCCAGCCAAAGGCACGAUUGGGACACCCAACGUGUAUCACAGCUUCGGCUGCCCCGUGCUUUCAUACACCCAGGAGGGGCUGCUUCUCCCCCACCUGUCAGCAAAUACCGCACAGACAUCCCAAAUUCUGGGCCCCAUCGUUUUUGUAAAGCCCUCCCGAGUGCAGCGACUGCGUAUUGCGGAGUACAAAGAAUUAAAACUGAGCGAGAGUUGUGGAAAUAAAGGAACAAAGUGCAUUUUGCGGUGCAUUAUUCUAGCUUGUUUAUCCACAAAAGUCAGUCGUUAUGGGAUGAGUUCUGUUGAUUCCUGUAACAACGAAUGCGUUUUGUCACCGAAUGCUCAGCACUGCUCCGCAGACGCAGCCCGCUUCCCUUGCAGUCCCAUUCCAACCACCUCGAGGCACACCUGUUCCAAAAGCUGCACCACUCCUUCAUUGGUCUGAACUGCUUUCCUCCUGUGACGUGGGACCUGUGCUAUAGAACCUGUCCCCUCAGGGACCAACAGUGCAGAGCUGCCUCCUGCGGGGAGGGGGAGGACGUGCUGUGUGUGCUCCUGCCCUGGGUUGUAUCCAGGCAGAUCCCUGCUGAUGCUCUCCUUGGGCAGCCUCUACCUGCAUCCUCAGCUCACCU